Aquila chrysaetos chrysaetos is the source of this 740-nucleotide long non-coding RNA. RefSeq lists it as uncharacterized. Lineage: Eukaryota; Metazoa; Chordata; Aves; Accipitriformes; Accipitridae. The record is from RefSeq and is a predicted model, not a curated record. The transcript has 3 exons.
CGGCGAGCGAGUGAGCGGCUGCAUGGUGCUUAGUUGCCGGCUGAGCCUAAACCAUGACAGUCCUUUUUGGCACCCAGCGUGGGGCUCAAAGGGUUGGUAUAACCACAGGUCUGACCAGAGCGUGUUAAAACAAAUUUGUUAUACGUGUUUCUCAUAUUAGUUAAAUAGUUGUUGGUCACAAUGUUGAUUCAUUUGGUCACAUGGUGGUGUUGCAUAAAUUCUUAUAUGCACUAUGUAUUCCCUGCGGUGAUGUUUAUCACCUCUGGGAGAGGGAUCAGGACUAUCAUUUUGCUAUACUGGGUGAAACAAAAAUUAAUGGAUACUUCUCCUUCAAGUCCAAAUCUCCCCGUAGGGGAAACGGAGUUUUCAGAGAGUUCCCUGAAAUAAAACUCAAUAGCAACGAGGUUACUGUUAAGCAGGCAACCUUUAUUACGGCACUGGGCAGCAUUGGGGAUGAGGCCACCACGAGUGCUCCAACGAUUUAACAAACUCUUAGAGAUUUUAUACAUUGUGGUUAUACAGAUGCAUAGAAUUUCCAGGAAAUCAUUUACAUAAACAUAAGAUUUCCGAGAAUUCAUUAAAAUAUGCUAAUGUUCGUGUUGCAUGCGCAGUAAAUUACUCUGGUGGUCGUCGAGUGUCAUCUGGUGGUCUCUGAUAGUCUUCAUCACUUGUCUGCUAGUUGACCUUUUCCUUUUGAUUCUGCGCAAAUACCACCCAGAGAUCUGCCCGAAGUCUGGAUA